Molecule: ribosomal RNA, 463 nt
Filed under: uncultured bacterium
Lineage: Bacteria
Description: bacterial SSU rRNA
Rfam family: Bacterial small subunit ribosomal RNA
Source: RNAcentral
GAUGAACGCUGGCGGCGUGCUUGACACAUGCAAGUCGAGCGAAGCAGUUAAGUUGAUUUCUUCGGAUUGAUUCUUAAUUGACUGAGCGGCGGACGGGUGAGUAACGCGUGGGUGACCUGCCCCAUACCGGGGGAUAACAGCUGGAAACGGCUGCUAAUACCGCAUAAGCGCACAGAGCUGCAUGGCUCAGUGUGAAAAACUCCGGUGGUAUGGGAUGGGCCCGCGUCUGAUUAGGCAGUUGGCGGGGUAACGGCCCACCAAACCGACGAUCAGUAGCCGGCCUGAGAGGGCGACCGGCCACAUUGGGACUGAGACACGGCCCAAACUCCUACGGGAGGCAGCAGUGGGGAAUAUUGCACAAUGGGGGAAACCCUGAUGCAGCGACGCCGCGUGAGCGAAGAAGUAUUUCGGUAUGUAAAGCUCUAUCAGCAGGGAAGAUAAUGACGGUACCUGACUAAGAAGC